UCUGUAAGCCUGUGAAGGUGUACUGUGAGGUAUGCUGGAGGUAUCAGAAGUGCGAAUGCUGACAUAAGUAACGAUAAAGCGGGUGAAAAGCCCGCUCGCCGGAAGACCAAGGGUUCCUGUCCAACGUUAAUCGGGGCAGGGUGAGUCGACUCCUAAGGCGAGGCCGAAAGGCGUAGUCGAUGGGAAACAGGUUAAUAUUCCUGUACUUGGUGUUACUGCGAAGGGGGGACGGAGAAGGCUAUGUUGGCCGGGCGACGGUUGUCCCGGUUUAAGCGUGUAGGCUGGUUUUCCAGGCAAAUCCGGAAAACUAAGGCUGAGGCGUGAUGACGAGGCACUACGGUGCUGAAGCAACAAAUGCCCUGCUUCCAGGAAAAGCCUCUAAGCAUCAGGUAACAUCAAAUCGUACCCCAAACCGACACAGGUGGUCAGGUAGAGAAUACCAAGGCGCUUGAGAGAACUCGGGUGAAGGAACUAGGCAAAAUGGUGCCGUAACUUCGGGAGAAGGCACGCUGAUAUGUAGGUGAAGUCCCUCGCGGAUGGAGCUGAAAUCAGUCGAAGAUACCAGCUGGCUGCAACUGUUUAUUAAAAACACAGCACUGUGCAAACACGAAAGUGGACGUAUACGGUGUGACGCCUGCCC
This 640-nucleotide ribosomal RNA is filed under the name Shigella dysenteriae. Its description in RNAcentral is "partial 23S ribosomal RNA". It matches the Rfam family "Bacterial large subunit ribosomal RNA", at positions 1240 to 1864 of the family's 2925-position model. The record is from RNAcentral. Lineage: Bacteria; Pseudomonadati; Pseudomonadota; Gammaproteobacteria; Enterobacterales; Enterobacteriaceae.